Molecule: ribosomal RNA, 918 nt
Filed under: Staphylococcus aureus
Lineage: Bacteria; Bacillati; Bacillota; Bacilli; Caryophanales; Staphylococcaceae
Description: bacterial SSU rRNA
Rfam family: Bacterial small subunit ribosomal RNA
Source: RNAcentral
UUUAUGGAGAGUUUGAUCCUGGCUCAGGAUGAACGCUGGCGGCGUGCCUAAUACAUGCAAGUCGAGCGAACGGACGAGAAGCUUGCUUCUCUGAUGUUAGCGGCGGACGGGUGAGUAACACGUGGAUAACCUACCUAUAAGACUGGGAUAACUUCGGGAAACCGGAGCUAAUACCGGAUAAUAUUUUGAACCGCAUGGUUCAAAAGUGAAAGACGGUCUUGCUGUCACUUAUAGAUGGAUCCGCGCUGCAUUAGCUAGUUGGUAAGGUAACGGCUUACCAAGGCAACGAUGCAUAGCCGACCUGAGAGGGUGAUCGGCCACACUGGAACUGAGACACGGUCCAGACUCCUACGGGAGGCAGCAGUAGGGAAUCUUCCGCAAUGGGCGAAAGCCUGACGGAGCAACGCCGCGUGAGUGAUGAAGGUCUUCGGAUCGUAAAACUCUGUUAUUAGGGAAGAACAUAUGUGUAAGUAACUGUGCACAUCUUGACGGUACCUAAUCAGAAAGCCACGGCUAACUACGUGCCAGCAGCCGCGGUAAUACGUAGGUGGCAAGCGUUAUCCGGAAUUAUUGGGCGUAAAGCGCGCGUAGGCGGUUUUUUAAGUCUGAUGUGAAAGCCCACGGCUCAACCGUGGAGGGUCAUUGGAAACUGGAAAACUUGAGUGCAGAAGAGGAAAGUGGAAUUCCAUGUGUAGCGGUGAAAUGCGCAGAGAUAUGGAGGAACACCAGUGGCGAAGGCGACUUUCUGGUCUGUAACUGACGCUGAUGUGCGAAAGCGUGGGGAUCAAACAGGAUUAGAUACCCUGGUAGUCCACGCCGUAAACGAUGAGUGCUAAGUGUUAGGGGGUUUCCGCCCCUUAGUGCUGCAGCUAACGCAUUAAGCACUCCGCCUGGGGAGUACGACCGCAAGGUUGAAAC